ACACUCCCCUUUCCUUCAGGUGUGUAGCAUAAAUCAUUGCGGUGGUAGCUAGUUAGCAAAGACGCCGUGUUUUUGAUGCUGUCGAGUGUAGCGUGGGCACACCGCUCUCUCUGUCCCUCUGUUUGUGGUUGAGCCAUCGUACAGGAAAGGUAGGCGUCCUUCUCGGUUGGCUUAUUGCUCUUUUUGGUGCAUUGUAAUGUACUUAGUUGUUGGUUACUGACACCAUUUAACUUAAUUGUAGCCCUGUCCAUCGGCGGCUGGCGUGGGGUCGGCUGCUGUUCUGGGAUGGUGUGCUGAGCUGGGCAAACUCAAGUGUCGCUGGUGAUGUUCUUCCACUUUGUGUCCUGUGUGGUUGGCUGCUUGCAUGCCGCUUCGAGAGAACCAGAGGAGGAGAUGGUGCCUUCGACUACACUGAUGCAGUGUCACUAGAGAAGGGGGGCAUCACUGUUCUUUUCCCAACCUUUUGUUUUGUUUUGUCCUAUUGUGUGAGUGAUUCAUCCUGUGCAACCUUUUCACUUUGACGUCCGAGACGA
This is a long non-coding RNA of Engraulis encrasicolus (European anchovy), 533 nucleotides long. RefSeq lists it as uncharacterized. NCBI's taxonomy places the organism in Eukaryota, Metazoa, Chordata, Actinopteri, Clupeiformes, Engraulidae. The record is from RefSeq and is a predicted model, not a curated record. The transcript is spliced from 3 exons.